GAUGAACGCUGGCGGCGUGCCUAAUACAUGCAAGUCGAGCGAACGGACGAGAAGCUUGCUUUUCUGAUGUUAGCGGCGGACGGGUGAGUAACACGUGGAUAACCUACCUAUAAGACUGGGAUAACUUCGGGAAACCGGAGCUAAUACCGGAUAAUAUUUUGAACCGCAUGGUUCAAAAGUGAAAGACGGUCUUGCUGUCACUUAUAGAUGGAUCCGCGCUGCAUUAGCUAGUUGGUAAGGUAACGGCUUACCAAGGCAACGAUGCAUAGCCGACCUGAGAGGGUGAUCGGCCACACUGGAACUGAGACACGGUCCAGACUCCUACGGGAGGCAGCAGUAGGGAAUCUUCCGCAAUGGGCGAAAGCCUGACGGAGCAACGCCGCGUGAGUGUUGAAGGUCUUCGGAUCGUAAAACUCUGUUAUUAGGAAAGAACAUAUGUGUAAGUAACUGUGCACAUCUUGACGGUACCUAAUCAGAAAGCCACGGCUAACUACGUG
RNAcentral lists this ribosomal RNA (497 nucleotides) under uncultured bacterium. Its description in RNAcentral is "partial 16S ribosomal RNA". It matches the Rfam family "Bacterial small subunit ribosomal RNA", at positions 28 to 507 of the family's 1533-position model. The record is from RNAcentral.